Non-coding RNA from Paramuricea clavata, 78 nucleotides. The record is from the annotation of a GenBank genome assembly. NCBI's taxonomy places the organism in Eukaryota, Metazoa, Cnidaria, Anthozoa, Malacalcyonacea, Plexauridae.
GCCUCUGUGGCUCAGUACAUUGAUUAGAUGGCUGCACGGGAAUCGCAGGGCCGCAGGUUCGAUUCCUGCCAGAGGGCA